AACGAACGCUGGCGGCAUGCCUAACACAUGCAAGUCGAACGAAACCUUCGGGUCUAUUGUCGCACGGGUGCGUAACGCGUGGGAACCUGCCCUUAGGUUCUGAAGAACUCCUCGAAAGCGGUUCAGAUACCGGAUAAUUUCUUCGGACCAAAGAUUUAUCGCCUUUUGAUGGGCCCGCGUUGGAUUAGAUAGUUGGUAGGGUAAAAGCCUACCAAGGCGACGAUUCAUAGCUGGUCUGAGAGGAUGACCAGCCAAACUGGGACUGAGACACGUCCCAGACUCCUACGGGAGGAAGCAGUGGGGAAAAUUGGACAAUGGGCGAAAGCCUGAGCAAGAAAUGCCGGGGGAGUGAUGCAGUUCUUAGGGUUGUAAAGUCUUUUUACACGGGAUGAUAAUGACAGUACCGGGAGAAUAAGCUACGGCUAACUACGUG
This 433-nucleotide ribosomal RNA is filed under the name uncultured bacterium. RNAcentral's name for it is "partial 16S ribosomal RNA". It matches the Rfam family "Bacterial small subunit ribosomal RNA", at positions 29 to 507 of the family's 1533-position model. The record is from RNAcentral.